UUGGAGGGCAAGUCUGGUGCCAGCAGCCGCGGUAAUUCCAGCUCCAAUAGCGUAUAUUAAAGUUGUUGCAGUUAAAAAGCUCGUAGUUGAACUUCAGACCUGACCGGGCGGUCCGCCUAACGGUGUGUACUGUCUGGCCGGGCCUUACCUCUUGGUGAGCCGGCAUGCCCUUAAUUGGGUGUGUCGGGGAACCAGGACCUUUACCUUGAGAAAAUUAGAGUGUUCAAAGCAGGCUUACGCCGGAAUACAUUAGCAUGGAAUAAUAAAAUAGGACGUGCGGUU
Molecule: ribosomal RNA, 282 nt
Filed under: uncultured Basidiomycota
Lineage: Eukaryota; Fungi; Basidiomycota
Description: partial 18S ribosomal RNA
Rfam family: Eukaryotic small subunit ribosomal RNA
Source: RNAcentral